CCUACGGGCGGCAGCAGUGGGGAAUAUUGGGCAAUGGGCGCAAGCCUGACCCAGCAACGCCGCGUGAAGGAAGAAGGCUUUCGGGUUGUAAACUUCUUUUCUCAGGGACGAAGAAAGUGACGGUACCUGAGGAAUAAGCCACGGCUAACUACGUGCCAGCAGCCGCGGUAAUACGUAGGUGGCAAGCGUUAUACGGAUUUAUUGGGUGUAAAGGGCGUGUAGGCGUGAGCGCAAGUCAGAUGUGAAAACUCAGGGCUCAACCCUGAGCCUGCAUUUGAAACUGUGUUUCUUGAGUGCUGGAGAGGCAAUCGGAAUUCCUUGUGUAGCGGUGAAAUGCGAAGAUAUAAGGAAGAACACCAGUGGCGAAGGCGGAUGACUGGACGGCAACUGACGGUGAGGCGAGAAAGCGUGGGGAGCAAACAGGAUUAGAUACCCCUGGUAGUC
Molecule: ribosomal RNA, 444 nt
Filed under: uncultured bacterium
Lineage: Bacteria
Description: partial 16S ribosomal RNA
Rfam family: Bacterial small subunit ribosomal RNA
Source: RNAcentral